AUACGGAGGAUGCGAGCGUUAUCCGGAUUUAUUGGGUUUAAAGGGAGCGUAGGUGGGAUAUUAAGUCAGCUGUGAAAGUUUGGGGCUCAACCUUAAAAUUGCAGUUGAUACUGGUUUCCUUGAGUACGGUACAGGUGGGCGGAAUUCGUGGUGUAGCGGUGAAAUGCUUAGAUAUCACGAAGAACUCCGAUCGCGAAGGCAGCUCACCGGGCCGGAACUGACACUGAUGCUCGAAAGUGCGGGUAUCAAACAGGAUUAGAUACCCUGGUAGUCCGCACAGUAAACGAUGAAUACUCGCUGUUUGCGAUACACUGUAAGCGGCCAAGCGAAAGCGUUAAGUAUUCCACCUGGGGAGUACGCCGGCAACGGUGAAACUCAAAGGAAUUGACGG
This 391-nucleotide ribosomal RNA is filed under the name uncultured bacterium. RNAcentral's name for it is "partial 16S ribosomal RNA". It matches the Rfam family "Bacterial small subunit ribosomal RNA", at positions 523 to 916 of the family's 1533-position model. The record is from RNAcentral.